RNAcentral lists this ribosomal RNA (253 nucleotides) under uncultured bacterium. Its description in RNAcentral is "partial 16S ribosomal RNA". It matches the Rfam family "Bacterial small subunit ribosomal RNA", at positions 524 to 776 of the family's 1533-position model. The record is from RNAcentral.
UACGAAGGGGGCUAGCGUUGUUCGGAAUCACUGGGCGUAAAGCGCACGUAGGCGGAUUGUUAAGUCGGGGGUGAAAUCCUGAGGCUCAACCUCAGAACUGCCUCCGAUACUGGCAAUCUCGAGUUCGGAAGAGGUUGGUGGAACAGCUAGUGUAGAGGUGAAGUUCGUAGAUAUUAGCUAGAACACCAGUGGCGAAGGCGGCCAACUGGUCCGAUACUGACGCUGAGGUGCGAAAGCGUGGGGAGCAAACAGG